UAGGGAAUCUUCGGCAAUGGGGGCAACCCUGACCGAGCAACGCCGCGUGAGUGAAGAAGGUUUUCGGAUCGUAAAGCUCUGUUGUAAGAGAAGAACGUGUGUGAGAGUGGAAUGUUCACACAGUGACGGUAACUUACCAGAAAGGGACGGCUAACUACGUGCCAGCAGCCGCGGUAAUACGUAGGUCCCGAGCGUUGUCCGGAUUUAUUGGGCGUAAAGCGAGCGCAGGCGGUUUAAUAAGUCUGAAGUUAAAGGCAGUGGCUUAACCAUUGUUCGCUUUGGAAACUGUUAAACUUGAGUGCAGAAGGGGAGAGUGGAAUUCCAUGUGUAGCGGUGAAAUGCGUAGAUAUAUGGAGGAACACCGGUGGCGAAAGCGGCUCUCUGGUCUGUAACUGACGCUGAGGCUCGAAAGCGUGGGGAGCAAACAGG
RNAcentral lists this ribosomal RNA (429 nucleotides) under bacterium. Its description in RNAcentral is "partial 16S ribosomal RNA". It matches the Rfam family "Bacterial small subunit ribosomal RNA", at positions 355 to 776 of the family's 1533-position model. The record is from RNAcentral.